GCCAGUUCUUGGGGUCAAGUUUCGAGCCUCGCAAGUCCGAACUUAGGCUUCUGCCCUCUUCACUCCACCUUCCCUACAGGUUCAGCUUGGAAGAGUUCCCAGGAUGCCUCAGCUGGCCAGAGGCCACACCAGGAUUUUGAGGAUCUAAUGAACAUCACGCACACUAUUCUGAAAGAAGAAAGAAAGAAAGAAAGAAAGAAAGAAAGAAAGAAAGAAAGAAAGGAAGGAAGGAAGGAAGGAAGGAAGAAAGAAAGAAAGAAAGAAAGAAAGAAAGAAAGAAAGAAAGAAAGAGAGAAAGGAGGAAAGCAAGCAAGCUCAUGUAAACACCUCUAUCCCCUGCUCUUGUAGCAACUCAAGCAAACUUAACUCAGUGAAGUGAGUACAGACACGGCCAUCAAGACUGUAUCAACUCAGUGUUAUUUGGUUCUUAGUUAAGCCUGACAUUAUGAUAAUAAUAAUUCUCCUAGCACUGCAGGCUCAUUAAAGAAAUUCAUCUUCUAGCUACGAGUAGUGGCAAACAUCUACAGUCCCAGCAUUUGGAAGACUGAAGCAAAUUGUGUGCCCAUGGCCAACUGGGUACAUAGUGAGACCUGGUCUCAAAAACCAACAAAACAAAUAAGAAGAGAAAGAAAGAAAUUUGUAUUCCUAAUAAACACUCUCUGCUGCCUUCAGCAGUGACAGCACUCUCUAGUGAUCUGUAUGUGCAAUUAGAUCUAAGUCAUUUCAUGGAGGCUCCACGUGCAGUGUUCAUUGUGCCUGGUUCUUGAAUCACAGGUCCCAAACUGUGCUGAGAUGGCCCAAGCUCAUAAUGAGAACCCACAGGGACACUGCAGGACACGCACAUUCUUUGAGAAAGCACAGUGACAGGUGUCAGACCACAUGAGAACUGCAGCUCACAGUCGUUUGGAAAGCCGGGCUUUGGCAUUUGCUCUAGCAAUAGGAAGUGCUGUUAGGAAAUCAGCUGGUGCAGGAAAUAAUGUGAAGAUGUAGGAUCUAAGUAGUGUGGAGUCUAACAAGCACACACGUCCCAUUGCUGAGUUAGUGAGGCGAAGAAUACGAGUAUACUAUUCACUUUUUAAUUUGUAUGUUUUUAAGUAAAACUAUGAACUUGCUAGGACAUAUUAUUGAUUUAGGCAAACUAUUAUAUUACUAUAACAAGCAGGUGAUUUUUUUUAAAUCAACAGGCACAAUAAAAAGAUUGGUAAUUUGUAAAGAGAAUGAGCCAACUGUGAAAACAAGCCUGCAAAUGCCUAUUCCGGUGAGGGAAUAACUUUAACAGGACCCUAUCCUCACCUCUGAGUGGCUCAGAGAGGCAAUCAGAAAUUUCGACAUACAUGAAUAAAAGAAAUUCAAAAAUCUAGAACAUUUCAAGGAUCAGAAAAGAGAAAGUUAAGAUGCUGUUGACUUCAGUCUUCUAAAAAAGGGUGUUACACCAGCUAUAGUGGCACACAGUGUUAAUGCCAGCACUCAAAAGGCAGAAGGCAGAUCUCUGCGAGCUUGAGGCUUGUCUAAGCUACCUAGUGAAUUCUAAUACUAAGUACUUAGUAAGAACCGCCUCCCAUCUUGGGGGAGGUAAGACUUCAGUAAAUGGAAAAGGAAGAAUAUUUUGUUGUUGUUGUUGCUGUUGUUGUUGCUGUUGUUGUUGUUAUUGUUGUUGUUGUUGUUGUUGUUGUUGUUGUUGUGAGAAUACAUAGACAUGCUUGGCCUGCAGACAUACCUUUGUUUGUGUUCUGGGAAGAAAUCCCGUUGUCUAAAAAAGAGGAAGGGCGAAUUGGGGCAAGAGAUGACCAUAUUGCCAGUGCUGCAGCUUUUCACCAUAUACAAUGAGAAGACCAGAAUCUUCUGGGAAGGAAGUAAUAGAAUAGAAAAAAAGAGUGCUUCGGGAAGCUUCACAUGACAGGCCCCUGGGGACACCCAUCCCUGGCAACAGAGUCUAAGCUGCUGGUUGAAGCUGCAGGGAAAGACAGAGUAAAGAAAGGAGGUGGAAGGAUGGCUUAGUGGUUAAGAGCACUGGUUGUUCUUAUCUAUCUAUCUAUCUAUCUAUCUAUCUAUCUAUCUAUCUAUCUAUCUAUCUAUGAUCCAGGUUCAAUUCCCAGCUUCUGCAUGGCAGCUCAAAUCAUCUAUAAUUCAUACCCUCAUAUAGACAUACAUGCAGGAUAGACAUCAAAGCACAUGGAAUAAAUAUUUAAAAAGGGAAGAAAAUGGGUGGCAGCCAGAGGAAGGCCUCACCCAGGGGAACAACUGAAAACUUCCUGGGUGGAGACAUCAUCUAUAGGGUCUAACAGAGGAGGCAAAUUCUACCCAGUAGCCACAAGGUGUAGCCUUUCCCAGGUCCUCGGUGUCUUUGGGGAGGACACUGUGAGCAGGUGUUAGAGACAGAUGGCAGAUGGCUAUAGAAAGGACCAGAGAGGCUCUUCCGUGACCUUUGUUUGUGAAACGCCUUGGAGUAAGAGCACUGGAGAAAGCUGUAUGAGGUAAUUCGAUUCUAAGACUCAAGAAAGGUGAAGAGACCGGCACAGAAUAGUUCUAAGGGCUAUCUGCUCUGGAAAAGGGGGCAGUGCUCCAACUUAGUAUCAAAACUAAGGGUACAGUUUGCUGCCAGCCCUCCAUCUUCUCUUCUUCCCAUUUCACACACCGUGUUAGGCAGGGACAGCUAUCCAUGAUGUAAGGAGGGCAGGUGCAGUUAGGUAGAUUGUCAUAGCAUGGCGAGAUUAUUUUUUUCCCAUCUGGGGAGCUGGCUCAAUAAGAGAAUAAAAUUAAAGAUGUGAAUGUGAUGGUGUGGAUUUCAAUAGAUGAAAAGAUAUACAAACGACUAGAGGGAGAUAGAGAUGAUGGAUGGAUGGAUAGAUAGAUAGAUAGAUAGAUAGAUAGAUAGAUAGAUAGAUAGAUAAAUAGAAUACUAUAAUUCCAUACAUGUCUUAUCUUCCUCUGUCUCCUGAAAGGAGAGGAGACACAACAAUCUGUAGUGAACACAUCUAAUACAAAGUUGACUUUAAAAUUAUACAAUUUAUGAAAAGAAACUGAGGACUACAGAUAGGGAAAUAGCAAACAGUCAUCUGUCAUUGUGUCAGAGCUGGAGUAAAUGCUCAAAGGACUCAUGUUAAAAGGACCAGAGGCUGCCCGGAAGUACCUUCUACUGGAAAAAAAAUGACAAGUUCAGAUCAGUAUAAUGCGAAUAAAAGAUUAUACUCAUUGAAAAAAUAAGAAAUCAUCCAUCCAUAGAAAUAGAGAGAAAGUUGAUGGCUUUGAGUGAAGAGCAAAGUAUAUCAUUCCAUGGCCACUCGCACAAGAUAUGUAUUAACUUCAAAGAAAUAAAGAGCACCUUCCUGAAAAGAAACCUGGGGGUAAUGCCACUGCAGUCAAAUAAUCUAAGAGAACAGCAGCAGCAGCAGCAGCAGCAGCAGCAGCAGCAGCAGCAGCAGCAGCAGCAGCAGCAGCAGCAGCAGGUCAAAUGGAGAUCAUGGGCCACCCAACAUGUCUCAGAAUCCAAGGCUCACUCUGCAAAAGUCCCGCAGAAGGUGCUGAACUCGGUCAACAAAAACACCAGUGAGGACAGGGACUCUGUCAAGUAUUUUGCCUGAAACGUAUUCAUUUCUAAGCCUUCAAACAAGCCACAAAACCUGAGAAAGAUGAAGGAAUCAGCCCAGACCAAGGGAUUAAAUAGACACUACAAUGUGGCUAUGCCCCUGCCUGUAGAACUAUACAUUAAGUCAGGGGAGCGGAAAUGCUGGAUGUAGGAGUGGCAACAAUCUCAUACAGUAGAAGGAAAAAAAAUCAGUUCUGAGCUGCACUGUAACUUUUUUGCAUUGUGAGGUUCAGUCAACAAUUUUUUGAAAGUAUAAUUUAUACAGUGUGUUAGAUACUUUAGUGGGUAGCCAUGAGCAAUAACAAUAUUGUUUUGGGGGGUCUCUGGGAUCUCACUGCCCAAUAACUCCAUUGGAAUAUUUUGUAUUUGCACAAACCCUAUUGCUUGAAGACAUCACACACUUUGAUGAUAGGAGAUGGAGAAAUCAGGCUGGAACUGACCUGGAAGCUACCUGCUAACUAGCUUGCCUAGUGACUCAAGGUGUUUCCUAGGCUAUUUGGGGUCAGGGGAGAGCCAGGACUUGUCCUGUUGACAUACAUAUUCUAUGGAGCCAGUCAUUGUUGUAGCUUGUAGUGAUCGCAGUACACGGAGGAAUGGGGGAGGAUAUGAUCUAAACACAUGGUAUUAUGUAAGAAAUUAUCAAAGAGCAAUUUAUUUUAAAAAUAUUCAGUACUUUAGUCAUUCUCCCAAAGACUUUCAGUGGAGUGCUGCUUGGCAGAAUAAGGUCAUCAAGACAACUUCAGUCUCUUCAGUUUCUGUAGAAGAAAGCUUCAGGGAGGUGCUAGAUCUGGUGGCUGCUGCUGCUGCUGCUGCUGUAGCUGAUGUAGCUGCCACCACCACCAGCACAACCACCUCCAGAGAGCCAUGCUGCUUCUCCUGUGACUAAGUGGAGGCUCCAUGCUUUGUUCCUCAUAUGUUCCAGACAGUCAUAGACAUGGAAUUCUCAAUCACUGCUACAAAAAGCGCUACAAUGCCCCAUGCUAUUUGAUCAUAGACAGUGGGACAUCAGGUAGCUAAGUCCUGCUUUCUAAGCCUCAUGUAAGUGACACAGCCUGGCCUAUCCUGCACCUUCAGCACCACCUCCAAGCAGUCUUUAAGUGCAGGUUUUAUUCUUCGAAUUCUUUAUUAUGGGAAGGAUGUUAGAAUAAGGAUGGAAUAGGUGUGAGUUACCAAACCGUCAAGUUCAUCACACAGAGUAGAGAGAGCUGAAAGGAGGAAGUAAGGACGUUUACUUUAUUUAGACAGUGAUGAACACCAUAAUAAAAUUCAACGUAGUUAAGAAAAUCUGUAUAUAUGUCAGUAAAAUGGGAAUUCUUAAAAUAAUAACGCACCAUUUAUAUAUGAUUUAAAACGUUCCAAAAUAAUACUAUAUAUUAUUAAAAGAAAAAGUCUAAAA
Molecule: long non-coding RNA, 4982 nt
Organism: Rattus norvegicus (Norway rat)
Lineage: Eukaryota; Metazoa; Chordata; Mammalia; Rodentia; Muridae
Source: RefSeq, a predicted model, not a curated record